GUGGUGAAAUAUGAAUCCUCUAUCCGCAUCUCUAUUUGUAUAUAGUAGUAACCUAACUAGCCUUCUCCUUGUACACAAAAUCAAAACCAUCAUAUAUGCUAUAAAGCCGCAAUACAUUCCUAAAUCGUGUGGUAUUGCUAAACCUCAUUCUAACCGAAAGUUUGGUGGUUCUUUUAAUAUCUAUGGAUUCAUUGAAUUCAGGAUAAUUAGAACCCUGAAUGCUAGCAUCUGAAUCACUAUUAC
Molecule: long non-coding RNA, 243 nt
Filed under: Elaeis guineensis (African oil palm)
Lineage: Eukaryota; Viridiplantae; Streptophyta; Magnoliopsida; Arecales; Arecaceae
Description: long non-coding RNA (EGUI_LNC004936)
Source: RNAcentral